Mandrillus leucophaeus (drill) is the source of this 86-nucleotide microRNA precursor. Lineage: Eukaryota; Metazoa; Chordata; Mammalia; Primates; Cercopithecidae. The record is from Ensembl.
UAUCAGGUUGGUGCAAAAGUGAUUGUGGUUUUGCCAUUGUUUUCAGUGGCAAAAAUCGCCGUUACUUUUGCACCAAUCUAAUAAAU